CAAGCCCAUCUGAUUUCAUUUGCCCAAAAUUGUUUGCUCAGAGAUUCUGAACGCGGUGGUAAUUCUUUCUUUGUAUCCUGCUAUAAAUACCUGGUUAUUUAUAUCCUGCUCUGAGCACUUGGCAUUGGGUCCAGGUAUCAUACUGCUAGCCAGUGCUGUGCUCCUGCUCUGACAAGAGAGCCUGUUUGGUCCCCAGGACUCAGGGGGUCUGUCUGUGCCGGGGUAUCCAGAAGGAAAAACUGAGGCUUCCAGAAUGCUGAAGAGAUGCUUACUUGGAUAUAUGGGGCACAGACGCCCGAAGCUUCAGGCCGCCUCAGCCCAUGCACCCACACACCUUCUGCCAGUGCCCACACUCAGCUGGUGUGGGGGUGGCAGCUUGACAAAGACUGAGAAGACAGAAGAGACUGGCGUUGGGUGUGGGGCACACAGCAAUGGCGAGCUAAGACAGGAGGACAGCCCGGCCUUCCUGCUACCCGCCGGUGAGGUGCUGUGUGUGCUCCGGCAUGUGGCUUCACUUCCCAUGCCUCCAGGGACUCAUCUGUAAAAUGGGAAUAAUAAUACAACCACCCAAAGGGCCUGGUCCACAUGAAGCGCUUUGAGGAUCACCAUCGUCAUCAAGGAAGGAGAAGCAGCACUUUUCGAGGAGCUAAACAUCUGGAAGACCGUCAUCAGUCAAACAUACUACAAGAAUUAGAGGGUCCAACAGCUGUAGCAGACUCCACUUGAGGCAAAUUGGAACUGUAAAAAUUUUGAUUUUCAGAUCAAAUUGAGAGAGUAGAUACUUGAAGGACUAUUGAACUUUCAAAAUGGCUUGUUACGGGGUUCGCGCAAAUGGUGAACAAUUCCCCUGGCACGUCUAAGUCAGGAACAGAUCGACCAGGCUGUGAGCAAUGCGUGAAGCAAGACCAACACGCACACAGGACCCACGCGGCUUCCGAGGGCGCCACACGGAGGACCGCAGCAGGUUCGGUGCCAGAAGGGGCCUGCCUGGCACCAAGAGCUCUCCGCUUUCAGAGGACCUCAGCCUUCAACUUCAAAACCAGAUCGAAACCAGACCAAAGCCGGCACCACUUGGAAAGGCAGGGAGAGAUUCAGCUUCUAGAAAUGGGACGCUGAGCUCCACAGGGCCCGAGGACCAUCACAUCACGGGUGGGAGUGGACAUGUUCAGCAUCAUGGGGACGACGUCCAAUCAAUCUGGCAUCCCCCUCUCCUGCACGCCCUCGCCGCUGGUCAAUACUGGCUGACGAAACAAUUCCUGAUAGCUUUCUGUGGGGCCAGUGCUUGGCUUCUGGGGUGGGGAAAGGAAUGAGGAAUGACAACAGAGAGAAGACGGGCCAGUGCUCUGAAAUCUUCAAAGUUCCCGACUCUGACACCCUCUCCUGCUCUUCCUGGUGGAGAGCAUCCAAUCCUGGCUUCAUCUGGGCUCUGGAGGAAUUAGGAUUCUGAUCACCCACCCUCAAGGCUCCUCAGGCAAGCUCUUCCCCACCCUUCAAGCGUAAGCUCUCAAGUCCUCAAUGGGUCUGUUUUCAUCUAUUUAAAAUGUAGGCUGCUUGGGGCGCCUGGG
This is a long non-coding RNA of Zalophus californianus (California sea lion), 1565 nucleotides long. RefSeq lists it as uncharacterized. The record is from RefSeq and is a predicted model, not a curated record. Lineage: Eukaryota; Metazoa; Chordata; Mammalia; Carnivora; Otariidae. The transcript has 3 exons.